RNAcentral lists this ribosomal RNA (529 nucleotides) under uncultured bacterium. Its description in RNAcentral is "bacterial SSU rRNA". It matches the Rfam family "Bacterial small subunit ribosomal RNA", at positions 377 to 917 of the family's 1533-position model. The record is from RNAcentral.
AGCACUCUGACCAGCGACGCCGCGUGCGGGAUGAAGGCCUUCGGGUUGUAAACCGCUUUCAGCAGGGAAGAAGCGAAAGUGACGGUACCUGCAGAAGAAGCACCGGCUAACUAUGUGCCAGCAGCCGCGGUAAUACAUAGGGUGCAAGCGUUGUCCGGAAUUAUUGGGCGUAAAGAGCUCGUAGGUGGUUCGUCACGUCGGAUGUGAAAAUCUGGGGCUUAACCCCAGACCUGCAUUCGAUACGGGCGAGCUAGAGUGUGGUAGGGGAGACUGGAAUUCCUGGUGUAGCGGUGGAAUGCGCAGAUAUCAGGAGGAACACCAAUGGCGAAGGCAGGUCUCUGGGCCAUUACUGACACUGAGGAGCGAAAGCGUGGGGAGCGAACAGGAUUAGAUACCCUGGUAGUCCACGCCGUAAACGGUGGGCACUAGUUGUGGGAACCUUCCACGGUUUCUGCGACGCAACUAACGCAUUAAGUGCCCCGCCUGGGGAGUACGAUCGCAAGAUUAAAACUCAAAUGAAUUUGGCGGA